AAAAAAAUUAAUUCCCUCCUGGAUUCUUGUCUCCCCCCAGAUUUAUUAUUUUUUUUUUUCUAAAAGGGGAUCCCCCUUUACCUAAAUUCACGUCCCCAUCUCAUCCAUCUCAACCUCCAUUCCCCCUCUUAACCCUAAAUCGGCCCACAUCCCCAAUAUCGUUUCAUCGAUUUCCUGCUUUUAUAUAACCGCUAAGGAUGAGGGCCAGCAAGAGGAACCGCAAUUGUGAUGAUCAAUGGUGGUUCUCUACGAUGAUUCUCGAUUCGUCUACCGCCGUUAUUUUGAAGCAAAUUACCAGAAGUACAAAAGUUCUUGAAUGCAUCAGCAUGUUCAUGGUAUCAGCAGGUGAUUGGAACCUGCUGGUACUCAUUCUCUGUAGAUUGGGCUGAAAUAGGAAUUUCAAAAGAUCAGCCCUAUCUUUCCAAAAAUAGGUUUGAUUAAUUGGGUUAGAUUGGACGUGAAGGAACGAAGAUAGUGACAAAGCUUGAAACCAAGGUUAGAUUUUGUCAUAAUAUUAACAGGAUACUUUUUUUAAUCUUAUUUUAGGUAUGCAUUUAUCUUAAGUUUUACCCAGACAAUACUAUAUUGGUUUACCGGUUAUUUAGAUAUGGAUGUUGCUCUUGUUAAUUAUUAGAUAACGUAAUCUAAAAUCAUGUUGGUCUCUUAAGGUUAA
This is a long non-coding RNA of Helianthus annuus (common sunflower), 673 nucleotides long. RefSeq lists it as uncharacterized. The transcript is spliced from 3 exons. The record is from RefSeq and is a predicted model, not a curated record. NCBI's taxonomy places the organism in Eukaryota, Viridiplantae, Streptophyta, Magnoliopsida, Asterales, Asteraceae.